Molecule: signal recognition particle RNA, 301 nt
Filed under: Cebus imitator (Panamanian white-faced capuchin)
Lineage: Eukaryota; Metazoa; Chordata; Mammalia; Primates; Cebidae
Description: Metazoan signal recognition particle RNA (ENSCCAG00000004068.1)
Rfam family: Metazoan signal recognition particle RNA
About the family: The signal recognition particle (SRP) is a universally conserved ribonucleoprotein. It is involved in the co-translational targeting of proteins to membranes. The eukaryotic SRP consists of a 300-nucleotide 7S RNA and six proteins: SRPs 72, 68, 54, 19, 14, and 9.
Source: RNAcentral
GCUGGGCAUGAUGGUGCAUGCCUGUAGUCCCAGCUACUCGGGAGGCUGAGGUGGGAGGAUAGCUUGAGGCCAGGACUUCUGUGCUAUAGUGCGCCAUGCCGAUCGGGUGUCUCCACUAAGUUCGGCUGGAAUAUGGUGACCUCCCAGGAUCUGGGGACCCCACCAGGUUGCCUAAGGAGAGGUGAACUGGCCCAGGUUGGAAACAGAGCAAGUCAAUACUCCCGAGCUGAUCAGUAGCGGGAUCGCGCCUGUGAAUAGCCACUGCACUCCAGCUUGGGCAACAUAGGGAGACCCCGUCUCU